CUGCUGCCUUCCGUAGGAGUUUGGGCCGUGUCUCAGUCCCAAUGUGGCCGUUCACCCUCUCAGGCCGGCUACUGAUCGUCGCUUUGGUAGGCCGUUACCCUGCCAACUGGCUAAUCAGACGCGGGUCCAUCUCAUACCACCGGAGUUUUUACCACUGCACCAUGCAGUGCUGUGGUCUUAUGCGGUAUUAGCAGUCAUUUCUAACUGUUAUCCCCCUGUAUGAGGCAGGUUACCCACGCGUUACUCACCCGUCCCG
RNAcentral lists this ribosomal RNA (256 nucleotides) under uncultured bacterium. RNAcentral describes it as "partial 16S ribosomal RNA". The record is from RNAcentral.